RNAcentral lists this RNase P RNA (386 nucleotides) under Thiobacillus sp. RNAcentral's name for it is "RNase P RNA component class A". It matches the Rfam family "Bacterial RNase P class A". From Rfam's summary of the family: Ribonuclease P (RNase P) is a ubiquitous endoribonuclease, found in archaea, bacteria and eukarya as well as chloroplasts and mitochondria. Its best characterised activity is the generation of mature 5'-ends of tRNAs by cleaving the 5'-leader elements of precursor-tRNAs. The record is from RNAcentral. Lineage: Bacteria; Pseudomonadati; Pseudomonadota; Betaproteobacteria; Nitrosomonadales; Thiobacillaceae.
GGAGUCGGCCAGACAGCCGCUGUGUGCAGGCACAGAGGAAAGUCCGGGCUCCAUAGGGCAGGGUGCCAGGUAACACCUGGGCGUUAUAAGUCGGGACCUCGUCCCGGCCCAAGGCGACGGAAAGUGCAACAGAAACAUACCGCCGAUGGCUGGUCACCAGACCAGAUCAGGUAAGGGUGAAAUCGUGCGGUAAGAGCGCACGGCCGCGCUGGCAACAGUGGCGGCGGGCAAACCCCACCCGGAGCAAGGCCAAAUAGGCAGACGCGUUCUUUGAACACCGGCGGCCCGCCGGAGUCUGCGGGUAGGCUGCUUGAGGCGGUGAGCGAUCAUCGUCCCAGAUGAAUGGCUGUCCACGACAGAACCCGGCUUAUCGGCCGACUCCCACU